UUGUAGCACUCACAAAUUCUAAAGUUACCAAGCACAUGACCACAGAGUACAACAGUGUACUUCAAAUUCAAGUGAGCCUAGUUUCCUUCGAGGCACACUUUGGAACUUGUUACCCGCGCACACUCUCGCACGAGACACAAACUAACACGAGGUUACCAUCGGCGAAAGGCCCACCCCACCGCCUGCAAACGUGCACCCGAGUCAAGCAAGCCUGUCCCCGCUCCUUUCACAGAACCCAAAGGGGAUAGGACAUUGACUCACCGGCCUAUGACCCGCUUUCACUGACUUAAAACGAGCACGUCCACUUCUUACUCUCGCGCUAAAUCUAGCGGCCGACCUCGCGGUGAGGAUCGGAACGUCCUGAAACCAGCCCUGAAACUGAACCGGUUCUGGCGAUGCAGAGCUUGUCCAGCAGGUCAUUUCCGCCCAAAUGAAUGACUAUUGUGAGAACACUAGCAACGGCUUCAAGGAUGCUCCCUAACUGAUUGAAGUGCCAGAAAAGAAACAUUAGGCAGAUGAAAAUCUACUCCUCUCACAGAUGAAUGCCAACUAAUUAUACGAGGCAACUUCAAAACUUCACGACAAAAC
Molecule: long non-coding RNA, 588 nt
Organism: Tupaia belangeri chinensis (Chinese tree shrew)
Lineage: Eukaryota; Metazoa; Chordata; Mammalia; Scandentia; Tupaiidae
Exons: 3
Source: RefSeq, a predicted model, not a curated record